This 824-nucleotide ribosomal RNA is filed under the name uncultured bacterium. RNAcentral's name for it is "bacterial SSU rRNA". It matches the Rfam family "Bacterial small subunit ribosomal RNA", at positions 434 to 1257 of the family's 1533-position model. The record is from RNAcentral.
UUUACACGGGAAGAACCCCCCGACUUGUCGGGGACUGACGGUACCGUAUGAAUAAGCAUCGGCUAACUCCGUGCCAGCAGCCGCGGUAAUACGGAGGAUGCAAGCGUUAUCCGGAUUUAUUAGGUAUAAAGGGUGCGUAGGCGGACCUGUUAGUCAGUGGUGAAAUACUAGGGCUUAACCCUAGAACUGCCAUUGAUACUGCAGGUCUUGAGUACAGUUGAGGUAGGCGGAAUGUGUGGUGUAGCGGUGAAAUGCUUAGAUAUCACACAGAACACCGAUUGCGAAGGCAGCUUACUAAGUUGUAACUGACGCUGAUGCACGAAAGCAUGGGGAGCAAACAGGAUUAGAUACCCUGGUAGUCCAUGCCGUAAACGAUGAUCACUCGCUGUACGUCCAUUAGGAUGUGUGGCUGAGCUAACGCAUUAAGUGAUCCACCUGGGGAGUACGGCGGCAACGCUGAAACUCAAAGGAAUUGACGGGGGCCCGCACAAGCGGAGGAACAUGUGGUUUAAUUCGAUGAUACGCGAGGAACCUUACCUGGGUUUAAAUGUAGGACGCAAGUCACGUGAAAGCGAGACCCUCCUUCGGGACGGACUACAAGGUGCUGCAUGGUUGUCGUCAGCUCGUGCCGUGAGGUGUCGGGGUUAAGUCCCAUAACGAGCGCACCCUCAUCGUUAGUUACCAGCGGGUCAAGCCGGGGGACUCUAACGAGACUGCCACCGUAAGGUGAGAGGAAGGUGGGGGAUGACGUCAAAUCAGCACGGCCCUUAUAUCCAGGGCUACCCACGUGUUACAAUGGGCCGAUACAAAGGGCAGCUACCGGG